RNAcentral lists this ribosomal RNA (1340 nucleotides) under uncultured bacterium. RNAcentral describes it as "partial 16S ribosomal RNA". It matches the Rfam family "Bacterial small subunit ribosomal RNA", at positions 133 to 1373 of the family's 1533-position model. The record is from RNAcentral.
GUGGGGGGGGUAUUUAAAAACACCCCGGAUUUUUUUCCCCAAACCCCCUUUUCUUUUUUUUUUUUUGAAAAAGGGAAAUACCCCCCAGGGAAAAAUUUUUGGGUUUUUAUUUUUUUUUAAUAACCCCCCCCCAAAAGAUUUCCCAGGUUUUUUAAUGGUUAUAAGGGUUUCCGGUUAAGGGAAGGGGCCAUGCGUUCCUAUUAAGUUUGUUGGGGGAGGUAAAUGGCUUACCCAAGACUUACGAUAAGUUAGGGGGUUCUGAGAAGAUUUAUCCCCCCACACUGGUGCUUGAGACACGGACCAGACUUCUACGGGANGGCAGCAGUGAGGAAUAUUGCGCAAUGGACGAAAGUCUGACGCAGCCAUGCCGCGUGAAGGAUGACGGCGCUACGCGUGUNAAACUUCCUUUNAUAUACCAAGAAACCUUCGGACGUGUCCGAAGCUGACGGUAGUAUAUGAAUAAGCACCGGCUAACUCCGUGCCAGCAGCGCNGGUAAUACGGAGGGUGCAAGCGUUAUCCGGAUUUAUUGGGUUUAAAGGGUCCGUAGGCGGAUCAUUAAGUCAGUGGUGAAAGCCGACAGCUCAACUGUCGAACUGCCAUUGAUACUGGUGAUCUUGAGUACGGUUGAAGUAGGCGGAAUAUGACAUGUAGCGGUGAAAUGCUUAGAUAUGUCAUAGAACACCGAUUGCGAAGGCAGCCUACUAAGCCGUUGCUGACGCUGAGGGACGAAAGUGUGGGGAGCGAACAGGAUUAGAUACCCUGGUAGUCCACACCGUAAACGAUGAUUACUCGGUAUUGGCUUUAUUGUCAGUGCCCAAGCGAAAGUGAUAAGUAAUCCACCUGGGGAGUACGGCCGCAAGGUUGAAACUCAAAGGAAUUGACGGGGGCCCGCACAAGCGGUGGAGCAUGUGGUUUAAUUCGAUGAUACGCGAGGAACCUUACCAGGGCUUAAAUGUAGAACGACCGGGGUGGAAACACCCCCUUUUUCGAACGGUCUACAAGGUGCUGCAUGGUUGUCGUCAGCUCGUGCUGUGAAGUGUCGGGUUAAGUCCCAUAACGAGCGCAACCCCUAUUUCUAGUUGCCAGCGGUUCGGCCGGGGACUCUAGAGAAACUGCCAGCGUAAGCUGUGAGGAAGGUGGGGACGACGUCAAAUCAUCACGGCCCUUACGUCCUGGGCCACACACGUGCUACAAUGGUGGGGACAACGAGUUGCCAACCCGCAAGGGUGAGCUAAUCUCUCAAACCCCAUCUCAGUUCGGAUCGGAGUCUGCAACUCGACUCCGUGAAGUUGGAAUCGCUAGUAAUCGCGCAUCAGCCCAUGNCGCUGUAAUCGGGGGG